Molecule: ribosomal RNA, 471 nt
Filed under: uncultured bacterium
Lineage: Bacteria
Description: bacterial SSU rRNA
Rfam family: Bacterial small subunit ribosomal RNA
Source: RNAcentral
AGGACGAACGCUGGCGGCGUGCUUAACACAUGCAAGUCGAACGGUGACGAAUGGAGCUUGCUCUGUUCUGAUCAGUGGCGAACGGGUGAGUAACACGUGAGUAACCUGCCCCUGACUCUGGAAUAACUUCGGGAAACCGAAGCUAAUACCGGAUAUGACACAGAGCCGCAUGGUUUCUGUGUGGAAAGUUUUCGGUUGGGGAUGGACUCGCGGCCUAUCAGCUUGUUGGUGAGGUAAUGGCUCACCAAGGCGACGACGGGUAGCCGGCCUGAGAGGGCGACCGGCCACACUGGGACUGAGACACGGCCCAGACUCCUACGGGAGGCAGCAGUGGGGAAUAUUGCACAAUGGGCGAAAGCCUGAUGCAGCGACGCCGCGUGAGGGAUGAAGGCCUUCGGGUUGUAAACCUCUUUCAGUAGGGAAGAAGCGCAAGUGACGGUACCUACAGAAGAAGCACCGGCUAACUACGUG